RNAcentral lists this transfer RNA (74 nucleotides) under Exiguobacterium sp. RIT341. RNAcentral describes it as "tRNA-Asp". It matches the Rfam family "tRNA". From Rfam's summary of the family: Transfer RNA (tRNA) molecules are approximately 80 nucleotides in length. Their secondary structure includes four short double-helical elements and three loops (D, anti-codon, and T loops). Lineage: Bacteria; Bacillati; Bacillota; Bacilli; Caryophanales. The record is from RNAcentral.
GGUCCUGUGGUAGCGGUUAACAUGCCUGCCUGUCACGCAGGAGAUCGCGGGUUCGAAUCCCGUCAGGACCGCCA